This 254-nucleotide ribosomal RNA is filed under the name uncultured bacterium. Its description in RNAcentral is "partial 16S ribosomal RNA". It matches the Rfam family "Bacterial small subunit ribosomal RNA", at positions 524 to 776 of the family's 1533-position model. The record is from RNAcentral.
UACGAAGGGGGGCUAGCGUUGCUCGGAAUUACUGGGCGUAAAGCGCACGUAGGCGGCUUCUUAAGUCGGGGGUGAAAGCCUGUGGCUCAACCACAGAAUUGCCUUCGAUACUGGUUGGCUUGAGACCGGAAGAGGACAGCGGAACUGCGAGUGUAGAGGUGAAAUUCGUAGAUAUUCGCAAGAACACCAGUGGCGAAGGCGGCUGUCUGGUCCGGUUCUGACGCUGAGGCGCGAAAGCGUGGGGAGCAAACAGG